Molecule: ribosomal RNA, 497 nt
Filed under: uncultured bacterium
Lineage: Bacteria
Description: partial 16S ribosomal RNA
Rfam family: Bacterial small subunit ribosomal RNA
Source: RNAcentral
GACGAACGCUGGCGGCGUGCCUAAUACAUGCAAGUAGAACGCUGAAACUUGGUGCUUACACCGAGCGGAUGAGUUGCGAACGGGUGAGUAACGCGUAGGUAACCUGCCUGGUAGCGGGGGAUAACUAUUGGAAACGAUAGCUAAUACCGCAUAAGAGUAGAUGUUGCAUGACAUUUGCUUAAAAGGUGCAAUUGCACCACUACCAGAUGGACCUGCGUUGUAUUAGCUAGUUGGUGGGGUAACGGCUCACCAAGGCGACGAUACAUAGCCGACCUGAGAGGGUGAUCGGCCACACUGGGACUGAGACACGGCCCAGACUCCUACGGGAGGCAGCAGUAGGGAAUCUUCGGCAAUGGACGGAAGUCUGACCGAGCAACGCCGCGUGAGUGAAGAAGGUUUUCGGAUCGUAAAGCUCUGUUGUAAGAGAAGAACGAGUGUGAGAGUGGAAAGUUCACACUGUGACGGUAUCUUACCAGAAAGGGACGGCUAACUACGUG